This 1128-nucleotide long non-coding RNA is filed under the name Fragaria vesca (wild strawberry). RNAcentral's name for it is "long non-coding RNA (FVES_LNC005347)". Lineage: Eukaryota; Viridiplantae; Streptophyta; Magnoliopsida; Rosales; Rosaceae. The record is from RNAcentral.
GAGGCUUGAUUGAUAGCAGAAGAGGAUAAGUUCUUAAUCACAGGGAAUUCCAUUGGAGAACAAGUUGUGUACCUGGUCCAUAUUCAAGCCUUAUGGAAUGGAUUACUGCACAAGACAAUCCAGAGAAUUCUGGGAAAGUCUAAAUCAGAUUUAAAUCAAUAAUUCUACACUGUUGGAUCACAAAUCAAUCAAGGGCUAGGAGGAUAGCUAGGGUUUCGCCAAGACACUAUAUAAAGGAGCAGAGAGAAACGUUUCUUCAUCUCUUCUUCGCACAGUAAUCGGCAUUUUCGCACGAUCUUACGAGAUUGCGAACAUAUCAACGUUCUCGGAAUCUGCCGAAACCAAAUUCUUGGCUCCUUUUGGGACCUCCAUACACCCACAACAUUGAUCUUUCAACUUUUUUUGAGAAAAUUUGACGUGUUAUUUUUUCGCACGAUCUUAGAGAUUGCGAACAUAUCAACGUUCUCGGAAUCUGCCGAUACCAAAUUCUUGGCUCUUUUUGGGACCUCCAUACACCCACAACAUUGAUCUUUCAACUUUUUUUGAGAAAAUUUGAGGUGUUAUUUUGGCAUUUUCGCACGAUCUUACGAGAUUGCGAACAUAUCAACGUUCUCGGAAUCUGCCGAAACCAAAUUCUUGGCUCUUUGUGGGACCUCCAUACACCCACAACAUUGAUCUUUCAACUUUUUUUGAGAAAAUUUGAGGUGUUAUUUUGGCAUUUUCGCACGAUCUUACGAGAUUGCGAACAUAUCAACGUUCUCGGAAUCUGCCGAAACCAAAUUCUUGGCUCUUUUUGGGACCUCCAUACACCCACAACAUUGAUCUUUCAACUUUUUUUGAGAAAAUUUGACGUGUUAUUUUGGCAUUUUCGCACGAUCUUACGAGAUUACGAUCAUAUCAACGUUCUCGGAAUCUGCCGAAACCAAAUUCUUGGCUCUUUUUGGGACCUCCAUACACCCACAACAAUGAUCUUUCAACUUUUUUUGAGAAAAUUAGACGUGUUAUUUUUUCGCACGAUCUUACGAGAUUGCGAACAUAUCAACGUUCUCGGAAUCUGCCGAAACCAAAUUCUUGGCUCUUUUUGGGUACCUCCAUACACCCACAACAUUGAUCUUUCAACUUUUUUUG